Molecule: transfer RNA, 75 nt
Filed under: Oscillospiraceae bacterium
Lineage: Bacteria; Bacillati; Bacillota; Clostridia; Eubacteriales; Oscillospiraceae
Description: tRNA-Glu
Rfam family: tRNA
About the family: Transfer RNA (tRNA) molecules are approximately 80 nucleotides in length. Their secondary structure includes four short double-helical elements and three loops (D, anti-codon, and T loops). Further hydrogen bonds mediate the characteristic L-shaped molecular structure. tRNAs have two regions of fundamental functional importance: the anti-codon, which is responsible for specific mRNA codon recognition, and the 3' end, to which the tRNAs corresponding amino acid is attached (by aminoacyl-tRNA synthetases). tRNAs cope with the degeneracy of the genetic code in two manners: having more than one tRNA (with a specific anti-codon) for a particular amino acid; and 'wobble' base-pairing, i.e. permitting non-standard base-pairing at the 3rd anti-codon position.
Source: RNAcentral
GGCCCCUUGGUCAAGCGGUUAAGACGGAGCCCUCUCAAGGCUCAAUCACGAGUUCGAUUCUCGUAGGGGUCACCA